GUGCACUUGAUAUUUUCUAGGCGAGGCCCAAGCCUUCUAGGGUUUCUUUUAUUUCUUUUUCAGAAACGAAGGUCUCUUCUCCACCUUCGUUAGUGGCAGCUUUGCCCUCCAUAUGACCAACGGCGUCGUGCCUUCCUUUGGACGACCAAAACUUUCGCUGACGGCACCGAUCGUUACCAAACACAUCGCCAGCCACUACAGCGUUCCUCCCUCCGUGCGCACUUGAUGACGUCGCUGCCGCUACCAUUAGGUUCCGAUUC
Molecule: long non-coding RNA, 260 nt
Filed under: Vigna radiata
Lineage: Eukaryota; Viridiplantae; Streptophyta; Magnoliopsida; Fabales; Fabaceae
Description: long non-coding RNA (VRAD_LNC014182)
Source: RNAcentral